RNAcentral lists this unclassified non-coding RNA (505 nucleotides) under uncultured Glomus. Its description in RNAcentral is "SSU rRNA". It matches the Rfam family "Eukaryotic small subunit ribosomal RNA", at positions 569 to 1078 of the family's 1831-position model. Lineage: Eukaryota; Fungi; Glomeromycota; Glomeromycetes; Glomerales; Glomeraceae. The record is from RNAcentral.
AGCAGCCGCGGUAAUUCCAGCUCCAAUAGCGUAUAUUAAAGUUGUUGCAGUUAAAAGCUCGUAGUUGAAUUUCGGGAUCAAAGGAUCGGUCAUGCCUUGGUAUGUACUGGUUUUAUUGGUUCUCACCUUCUAAAGAACCAUAAUGUCAUUCAUUUGAUGUUAUGGGGAAUUAGGACUGUUACCUUGAAAAAUUAGAGUGUUUAAAGCAGGCUUACGCUUGAAUACAUUAGCAUGGAAUAAUGAAAUAGGACAUCAGAUUCUAUUUUGUUGGUUUCUAGGAUCGAUGUAAUGAUUAAUAGGGAUAGUUGGGGGCAUUAGUAUUCAAUUGUCAGAGGUGAAAUUCUUGGAUUUAUUGAAGACUAACUACUGCGAAAGCAUUUGCCAAGGAUGUUUUCAUUAAUCAAGAACGAAAGUUAGGGGAUCGAAGACGAUCAGAUACCGUCGUAGUCUUAACCAUAAACUAUGCCGACUAGGGAUCGGAUGAUGUUAAUUUUAUAAUGACUCU